CGGCAUAGCUCAGUUGGUAGAGCAGCUGAUUUGUAAUCAGCAGGUCGUAGGUUCGAGUCCUAUUGCCG
Molecule: transfer RNA, 68 nt
Filed under: pig gut metagenome
Rfam family: tRNA
About the family: Transfer RNA (tRNA) molecules are approximately 80 nucleotides in length. Their secondary structure includes four short double-helical elements and three loops (D, anti-codon, and T loops).
Source: RNAcentral